Molecule: long non-coding RNA, 3604 nt
Filed under: Triticum aestivum (bread wheat)
Lineage: Eukaryota; Viridiplantae; Streptophyta; Magnoliopsida; Poales; Poaceae
Description: long non-coding RNA (TAES_LNC008419)
Source: RNAcentral
AAAAUCCCUAGAUUUAAAUGAAUUGCCAUGGCAGUUUUAAAAAAUGCCCCCUACCCCCUGGCGUCCUUUUUUUAAUGGCUUUAGAAGUCCAAUUGAGUCCAAACACAAUCAACUUAAAUAACUUGGAUUUUUAUGAAAUAACUACUGACCAAUAUUUUAUAUUUUUGAUAAUGGUGUUAGUUCGUUCUUGAAGAAUAUUCAAAUAAGGUUACAGACAAAUUUAAACAAGCCCAUAAUAAGUUUUAAUACCUUCGAAAAUACAACCACAAACAAGGGAAAUCAACUAUAUUUAUUGAUUGGCUAAUUUAUUCAACAUUCCAAAUUUCGAAAUAUUUGGAUGUUACAGACGGCUCGCCUUAAGAUCUUAUUGCACGUUGCUUCACAUCCUGAAGCAACUUGAGGCAGAAUCAGCAUGGAAAGAAGCAGGCGCAGUAACUAAGUUCAGGAUAUUGAUGGUCCGUGUCACACUCCGCAUACGGGUAACCCUCAUGUUCGCAGUCCUCUGUGCAUUGGUCACCCUUGCAUUGCGAAGUAGGGUACGUCUGGCUUAACCGCCUGCAGUGGCCUUCAGAUCCUGCUGUAAAAUAUGGGCAACAUUUGAAUAACAACAUUAGAAAACAAAACACUGAGAAACUAUUAUAUUAUUCAGAUAAUUAUUCCAGGCAAGGCUUACCAGGAAGCAAGAGGAGUGACAUGAGCAAAAUUAAGCACAAGCUUGCCAUCUUGACCUUGUCGACCUCCAUAUCUCCAGGAAUAAACACCCAAGCAAAGAAGGAUGGAAUUCCAAAUAGGUUAACUUAGUAGUGCACCACUGAUCCCUUCUUAUAGAGAUGGAUGAUGGAACCUUACAAUAAACCAAACAGAAAAGGUUGUAUAUAUCUGGAUGAUGCAAUGAUGUGUUGUGUAAAUUGAAAAGACACUAUAGGUUGUUGUGGGUUGGUGUGUGCGCGCUCGCACGCGUGCGUGGAAUGGUGCCUUUGUUGCUUAGGUGGAACCCUAAAAAACAGAAAUUGUCAUAUUUAUCUGGAUGAUGCAUGGUAUAUAUCCAGAAGAUGCAACGAUACAUUGUACAUUGAAGAAAAGACAUUCUCAGGGGUGAUAAAAGACACCCUAGGUAGUUGAUACAUGUGUGUGUGUGUGUUGGUGUGAGGUAUUGCCUGAUGUUUGUACUGCUCAAAAUGGUGCAUUUGUUGGUUAGACAGAACCCUACAAAAGGCAAACAGAAAAUGUCAUUAUAUGGAUGAUGCAAUUGUAUAUAUCCGAAUGAUGCAGCAAUGUGUCACACACUGGAAAAAGACACCGAGACAUGAUAAAAAGGCACCCCGGGUUAGUUGAUACAUGCAUGUCUUUUAUGUGAGGUAUGUCAUGAUAUUUGUAUCGCUCAAAAUGGUGCCUUUGGAUCUUAGCAGUAGGAAAAAAACACCCAGCGUAUCACGCAUUGGAUUAGGAAAUAAUGUUGCUGGGGUAAUUGCACUUGUCGAUGUAGUAAGUGAAGCAUGCUUGGCUUUGCACGAGAACAAUAUUGUGCACAGCCUAAUGAUGUCCAACCACGGCAGAAAUGUUUUCUUAUUCCCCAGGUGAAACUCGCUAAUACAUUGUGUUCCAUCUCUAAAUAAAUGUUUUAUCAACAAAGGAAUUGUUAGGUGUUAAUCUCUGGUGUUUGAUUUUAGGUGAAAAAUCUGGUCACUGGCUGCUGUCUUUCUGCCUGGGAGUGCUGUGGCUACUUUGUUUAUCACACCAAAGUUGAUUUCGACCGAGCUUCUAGUAGAAAUUCUGAAUUGGUAUAAUGGCUCUUUCUUACAUUACAACUUACAAUACAAGAGUUUCUUACAGGAGUGAAACAAAACUAAAAAAAAAGAUUAAAGAAUAACGUUUGACAAAAUGAUUAAUGCAAAAUGAUCCAUUAAAGAAAAGAAUUGAUACAACAAUUUGAUUACUUAAUCAAUUAGUAGUAUCCCUGCCAUGAUUUUCAAAUCUUUUCUAUUUAGUAGUCUAAGUUUCUCGAUGAGGAUAAUUAAUUCGGUCGUUGUGGUCGGACUCUAUUAUGGAUUUCUACUACAUUCUCCAUAGGUCCCUCUUAGAUCUUCUUUCUCCAAUCUUGGAUUAGGGAAGAAGGAGAUAUUCGCGACUACUGGCGAUUUCAUUAUGGGGCAGCUCAUGAUCUUCAUAUCGAUCUAUUGUCCACCUCUGUAUCUAUUCUUUCUUAGCUAAACAGGUGGAAGAUCUAUCCAAUUUGGUUAUAUUAUAUCAUGGACUCGCAAAAACGGAUCUGAAUUUGACUGAAAUGCACGAUCUUCACAGGUAUCACUUUUCACGAUACCUAAAAGGUGGAAUAGCGAUUUUCGAACCAUUUCCUAUAAGAGAAUGGUUUCCAUUACUUUGAGAAAUGGAUUCUUGAGACCGGAAUUUCCAAUAGGAUGGCUUCGUUCUCGUUCCAAGAUGGUGACUUUGAAGACUUGAAGAAACUCUGCUGCGCUAUAGCUGAUGGCCUUGUUACCUAAGCCUGCACCGUAUGCAAGCAUCAACAAUGUGUGCAGCGGUUCAUUAUGUAAAAUCACCCAGAAUGUUACUGCAACUAUAAACAUAUCGUGUAUCAUGCUCUCCCAUUCCCCGUGUUUGGCGUGUUAUGCAUAAAUACUAUGAAACAUAUGUCUGAAGACAUCCGGGUUGAUGAAUAAAGCUUGCUGUUCUCCUCAUGAAUCAAUCUCUGAAUAUUUGCAAGGAUUGUGCAAUGAUAUUUCAGCUACUACAUUUGUAGUUUACAGAAUCAACUUUGCAGCAUUUCUGUGAGACAUUGAAUUACUUCAGAACUGAACCUGUGAUAUAGCAGAUGACUUGAUUUGUUUCAUGUGGUUUGCUUCAGAAGGCACAUGCCCUUGAUCUGAUAGCUUUGUUGCAGAAACAGUUUUUACUUGGAUGUGUUAUAAAUUUAUAUAGCUUGCAGUUGUUACUGGGAGUUCAAAGAUUGUAUGUAGAGAAGGAAAUCUGUUGCAGUUAUAAGUUGUGCAUCGACGUUAAGAUGGAUCUUAUCACUCAUUGCAUCGGCCGCAACAUCUUGAGGCAGCAUCAGAUUCAGCAGGGUUUGUUGCAGAGGCUAGGUAGCCACUAAUGAUGGAAAAGAAAAAAAAAACAGAAAAUUGUGUAUGGUUGCAGCCGGUUUUCAUCUCAAUCCUAUGUAUGGUUGCAGCCGGUUUUCAUUUCAUCGAAGUUUGGACAGUAAGCCAGUUUCUUGUGUGCGAUGGUGGCACUUUUGGACGAAAAAAUCCCCAGAUUUAAACGAAUUGCCAUGGCAGUUUUUAAAAAUGCCCCCACCCCCUGGCGUCCUUUUUUAAUGGCUUUAAAAUUCCAAUUGAGUCCAAACACAAUCAACUUAAAUAACUUGGAUUUUUAUGAUAUAACUACUGACCAAUAUUUUAUAUUUUUGAUAAUGGUGUUAGUUCGUUCUUGAAGAAUAUUUCAAAUAAGGUUACAGACAAAUUUAAACAAGCCCAUAAUAAGUUUUAAUACCUUCGAAAAUACAACCACAAACAAGGGAAAUCAACUAUAUUUAUUGAUUGGCUAAUUUAUUCAACAUUCCAAAUUUCGAAAUAUUUGGAUGUUACAG